This 451-nucleotide ribosomal RNA is filed under the name uncultured bacterium. Its description in RNAcentral is "partial 16S ribosomal RNA". It matches the Rfam family "Bacterial small subunit ribosomal RNA", at positions 29 to 523 of the family's 1533-position model. The record is from RNAcentral.
AGCGAACGCUGGCGGCAGGCUUAACAUAUGCAAGUCGAGCGGGCAUAGCAAUAUGUCAGCGGCAGACGGGUGAGUAACGCGUGGGAACGUACCUUUUGGUUCGGAACAACACAGGGAAACUUGUGCUAAUACCGGAUAAGCCCUUACGGGGAAAGCUUUAUCGCCGAAAGAUCGGCCCGCGUCUGAUUAGCUAGUUGGUGAGGUAAUGGCUCACCAAGGCGACGAUCAGUAGCUGGUCUGAGUGGAUGAUCAGCCACAUUGGGACUGAGACACUGUCCAAACUCCUACGGGAGGCAGCAGUGGGGAAUAUUGGACAAUGGGCGCAAGCCUUAUCCAGCCAUGCCGCGUGAGUGAUGAAGGCCCUAGGGUUGUAAAGCUCUUUUGUGCGGGAAGAUAAUGACGGUACCGCAAGAAUAAGCCCCGGCUAACUUCGUGCCAGCAGCCGCCGUAA